Molecule: ribosomal RNA, 226 nt
Filed under: uncultured fungus
Lineage: Eukaryota; Fungi
Description: partial small subunit ribosomal RNA
Rfam family: Eukaryotic small subunit ribosomal RNA (bases 99-226)
Source: RNAcentral
GGCGAACCGGUGCGACCCGUGCUCGUAUUGAGCUUGUGUGCCGCGUCGAGUUUGUCAUCCUUCCAGAGAGCAGCGUCUACCAUUUACUUGGCCGGACGUUCGUGAUCUGGAUCGAUUACUUUGAAAAAAUUAGAGUGUUUAAAGCAGGCUUACGCUGUGAAUACAUUAGCAUGGAAUAAUAAUAUAGGACUUCGGUUCUAUUUUGUUGGUUUCUAGGACUGAAGUA